GCAUAUCAAUAAGCGGAGGAAAAGAAACCAACAGGGAUUGCCCUAGUAACGGCGAGUGAAGCGGCAACAGCUCAAAUUUGAAAUCUGGCUCUUUCAGGGUCCGAGUUGUAAUUUGCAGAGGGCGCUUUGGCGUUGGCAGCGGUCCAAGUUCUUUGGAACAGGACGUCACAGAGGGUGAGAAUCCCGUACGUGGUCGCUAGCCUUCGCCGUGUAAAGCCCCUUCGACGAGUCGAGUUGUUUGGGAAUGCAGCUCUAAAUGGGAGGUAAAUUUCUUCUAAAGCUAAAUACUGGCCAGAGACCGAUAGCGCACAAGUAGAGUGAUCGAAAGAUGAAAAGCACUUUGGAAAGAGAGUCAAAUAGCACGUGAAAUUGUUGAAAGGGAAGCGCUUGCAGCCAGACUUGCCUGUAGUUGCUUAUCCGGACUUUUGUCCGGUGCACUCUUCUGCGGGCAGGCCAGCAUCAGUCUAGGCGGUUGGAUAAAGGUCUCUGUCAUGUACCUCUCUUCGGGGAGGCCUUAUAGGGGAGACGACAUGCAACCAGCCUGGACUGAGGUCCGCGCAUCUGCUAGGAUGCUGGCGUAAUGGCUGUAAGCGGCCCGUCUUGAAACACGGACCAAGGAGUCUAACAUCUAUGCGAGUGUUUGGGUGUCAAGCCCAGACGCGUAAUGAAAGUGAACGGAGGUGGGAACCCUUUGGGUGCACCAUCGACCGAUCCUGAUGUCUUCGGAUGGAUUUGAGUAAGAGCAUGGCUGUUGGGACCCGAAAGAUGGUGAACUAUGCUUGAAUAGGGUGAAGCCAGAGGAAACUCUGGUGGAGGCUCGCAGCGGUUCUGACGUGCAAAUCGAUCGUCAAAUUUGGGCAUAGGGGCGAAAGACUAAUCGAAC
This 883-nucleotide ribosomal RNA is filed under the name Neosetophoma cerealis. RNAcentral's name for it is "partial large subunit ribosomal RNA". It matches the Rfam family "Eukaryotic large subunit ribosomal RNA", at positions 38 to 940 of the family's 3401-position model. The record is from RNAcentral. Lineage: Eukaryota; Fungi; Ascomycota; Dothideomycetes; Pleosporales; Phaeosphaeriaceae.